CAGUGAAAUGCUGAAUACAACAGGUGUAGUAGACCUGACAGUGAAAUGCUGAAUACAACAGGUGUAGGUAGACCUGACAGUGAAAUGCUGAAUACAACAGGUGUAGGUAGACCUGACAGUGAAAUGCUGAAUACAACAGGUGUAGGUAGACCUGACAGUGAAAUGCUGAAUACAACAGGUGUAGUAGACCUUACAGUGAAAUGCUGAAUACAACAGGUGUAGGUAGACCUUACAGUGAAAUGCUAAAUACAACAGGUGUAGUAGACCUUACAGUGAAAUGCUGAAUACAACAGGUGUAGGUAGACCUUACAGUGAAAUGCUGAAUACAACAGGUGUAGGUAGACCUUACAGUGAAAUGCUGAAUACAACAGGUGUAGUAGACCUUACAGUGAAAUGCUGAAUACAACAGGUGUAGUAGACCUUACAGUGAAAUGCUGAAUACAACAGGUGUAG
Long non-coding RNA from Oncorhynchus tshawytscha (Chinook salmon), 453 nucleotides. NCBI's taxonomy places the organism in Eukaryota, Metazoa, Chordata, Actinopteri, Salmoniformes, Salmonidae. The record is from Ensembl.